RNAcentral lists this ribosomal RNA (445 nucleotides) under uncultured bacterium. RNAcentral describes it as "partial 16S ribosomal RNA". It matches the Rfam family "Bacterial small subunit ribosomal RNA", at positions 339 to 795 of the family's 1533-position model. The record is from RNAcentral.
CUACGGGGGGGCUCCAGUGGGGAAUAUUGCACAAUGGGCGCAAGCCUGAUGCAGCAACGCCGCGUGAGGGAUGAAGGCCUUCGGGUUGUAAACCUCUUUUAGCAGGGAAGAAGCGAAAGUGACGGUACCUGCAGAAAAAGCACCGGCUAACUACGUGCCAGCAGCCGCGGUAAUACGUAGGGUGCAAGCGUUGUCCGGAAUUAUUGGGCGUAAAGAGCUCGUAGGCGGUUUGUCACGUCUGCUGUGAAAAUCCAAGGCUCAACCUUGGACUUGCAGUGGGUACGGGCAGGCUAGAGUGCGGUAGGGGAGAUGGGAAUUCCUGGUGUAGCGGUGGAAUGCGCAGAUAUCAGGAGGAACACCAAUGGCGAAGGCACAUCUCUGGGCCGUAACUGACGCUGAGGAGCGAAAGCGUGGGGAGCGAGCAGGAUUAGAUACCCUCGUAGUC